UUUUUAACGAAAUUAUGUUAAGUAAGACCUGCUCCAUGUUAAAUAAAUAGCCGCAGAAAUUUUACUGUGCUAAGGUAGCAUAAUCAUUUGUCUUUUAAUUAGAGACUUGUAUGAAAGGUUUAACAUUCAGUAUCUUUUUUCAUUAAUAUUUUUAAAUUGUAUUAAGAAUAAAAAUAUUCUUAUUUUUAAAAUAGACGACAAGACCCUAUUGAACUUAACUUAAGUUAAGCUGGGGCAGCUAAUUAAUGAUUCCUUUAAUUUCCCCCCCCCUUAAAAAAAGACCCAAUAUAAAUGUAUACCUGAUUAAGUUACCAUAGGGAUAACAGCGUAAUUUUUUUUUAAAGCUCUUAUUUUAAAUAAAGAUUGCGACCUCGAUGUUGAAUUAAUAAUACUUUUUGGUGUAAAAACUUCAAAAGUAGGCCUGUUCGGCCUAUAAAUUAUUACAU
This 446-nucleotide ribosomal RNA is filed under the name Testudinaria sp. ARANS0000175. RNAcentral describes it as "partial 16S large subunit ribosomal RNA". It matches the Rfam family "Bacterial large subunit ribosomal RNA", at positions 1831 to 2601 of the family's 2925-position model. Lineage: Eukaryota; Metazoa; Arthropoda; Arachnida; Araneae; Araneidae. The record is from RNAcentral.